GCCAGGUGUGGUGGUGCAAACCUGUGAUCCCAGCUACUCGGGAGGCUGAGGUGGGAGGAUCACUUGAGCCCGGGAGGGGAAGGCUGCAGUGAAGAACCGUGAUCACACCACUGCACUUCAGCCUGGGUGACAGAGUGAGACCCUGUGUUAAAAAAAAAAAAAAAAAAAAACAGGGUCUUGCUCUGUUACCCAAACUGGAGUGCAGUGGUGUGAUUUCGGCUCACUGCAGCCUCCAUCUCCUGGGAUCCAGCAAUCCUCCCACCUCC
This 266-nucleotide small RNA is filed under the name Cercocebus atys (sooty mangabey). RNAcentral describes it as "Metazoan signal recognition particle RNA (ENSCATG00000006952.1)". Lineage: Eukaryota; Metazoa; Chordata; Mammalia; Primates; Cercopithecidae. The record is from RNAcentral.